Long non-coding RNA from Artibeus jamaicensis (Jamaican fruit-eating bat), 2430 nucleotides. RefSeq lists it as uncharacterized. Lineage: Eukaryota; Metazoa; Chordata; Mammalia; Chiroptera; Phyllostomidae. The transcript is spliced from 5 exons. The record is from RefSeq and is a predicted model, not a curated record.
UCCGGGGCGAGCGAUGGGUCUCUGGCCGCGAGCUCCAAAAGGGAAUGGAGGACUUGAUGGAAAGAGGGGAUAAACGCGUGUGUCCUAGAAAUAUUGAAGACAAAUUUGGGCCAAAAGUAAAUUUACUAAGAGGGACACACACACACAUACACACACACCGUGUGUGUGUGUAUGUAUUUGCGUUUUACUUGGUCGUUUCCUAAUGCAUAGGUAAUGGAGCUGUUGGUAUGGUCGGGCGAAGGUGUGUGACCCCAAAGGAGCAUAAAUGAGUCUAAUAGGAGAAGACGUUGACUUUCAAUUCAACAGACAGUUUUCUUGUAAGACCCUUUGCAAAAAUGUGGCAAUUAAGGAAAUAAGGCCCUGGUACACAGAUAGAUGAGUGUCAUAUGUGUUCCUGAAAAAACCUCCUGUCCAACCAGUUAUGCAUUUGAAAGAACCAGGGCUUGUGGGGAAACCCUGUGCAAUUUGAUAAUCUUGAAAAUAAGCAGUGAUCAGCACGAAGUAGUCUUAAUGCCCUCCUACCCCAUCAAAGGAAUCUUAGAGAUGUCAGAAAAGGAUUCCUGGGUCUUGGAAAAUGACUGGAAAUAGGAAGAAGAGGUAGUGUAUCUUUCUGUCUUAAAUGUAGAAAGUACUUCUGGCACAAUAAUGAUGAGUUGGAAACGAAGGACUGUCCAACUAAAAGAAAAUGGAUUUAUAAAGGAAUAAAGUUGCAGGAUGUUUUUCUUAAGAAAACAUCUGUAUGCUUUUAUAUGAUCAAGAAAUCAAAGAAUUUAUUUAAUAAGAGAGAGGAGAGAAACAUCGUUGUAUGCAUGGGAGAUACAUCAACUGGUUGCCACUCAAACGCCCCCUAGUGGGGUCCUGGCCCACAAUCCAGGCAUACCUCUUGACCUGCAAUUGAACCAGCAAGCUUUCAGUUUGCAGGCCAGCGCUCCACCCACCAAGCCAUACCAGCCAGGGCAAGUUAAUUUUCUUUUAAAGGUCGAUGUAAGCUUUGUUUAUGGCCCUGAAUGAAAAGAUUUACUAAAUAAAUGAAUUCAAAAACAAAACUGAUUGCUGUUUCAGCCUUUUUGGCUAAGAUAAAGAAAGUCAAAACUAAAACAACAUUAAUGUGAUGGACGCUCCUCUUUUACAUCAGUCAGCAUUGUACUGGUUGCUGUGGAACAAGUUGUAAGUACACAUGGUCUUGUGCCUUGUGAUGAUUGUAAAGUUUUCUAAUCUGGACAACAGUAGUUUUUGCAGAACUCAAGAUCAUUAAAAUGAGCAAAGGGGGUCUAAGUUGUCAAAAAAAAAAUAGAUUUUUAGAUUGUCUACAAAUCCUAAUUGGGAAAAUUGUGUGAACAUUCUUCUAGCUCCAAAGAGUAAUUCAGAGUCUUGGAACUAGCGUUCCUUUGAGAAAUAGAGUUCCGUUGAGAAGCUCCAAGUUUUAUGUAACUAGGAUUAGGACUGGCUAGUAGUUACCUAAAUUUAAUUAAAGAUUGACUGUGAACUAAUACAAGGUUUUCUUUUUAGAUGCAUGUAGUUCUUACUUUGCACUGUUCCAACAUGCAUUUUUCACAGCUAAGUAACACCAGCCCCCACCGUGGUUGAAAUUCAGUUACCAAUUACUAACUGAAUUGUUACAUAAACUUUGCAGCUCGCUCUUUAGUCCAUAAACCAUUUUGCAAAUAAAAGAUGUGCAUCAUGAUUAGCAACCAGUUACAUCACUUCUUUCAAAGUUUGUUGGUGGUGGGUUAAUUUCCACACAGCAGUAAAGAAUAGUUGUAUUGCUUUCUUGUCUUCCUGUGAUAAACCUGUAUGACAUUUUACAAAAGUUGAUAAUCAAAAGAGGGAAUUGGUCCAGAAUGCGGACAGCAGUAAGGAAGCAAAAAGCGAUAACACUGGAAGUGAAAUUGAAUAUGGUUAGAUUCGAAAAUGGUGAUAGCAAAGCAAAGACAAGGCGAGAAGACCGAGGCCUACGUGAAGCUCCAUUACAAACCAUAUUUUAAAAGCCUGAUGAAUGUAAAAACUAAGGUAAAGUUGCUGCAACCUCUUUUAGUUUAAGUUGCAGUAGGAAGAGAAAGCUGCUUAGGUUUCAGUUGGAGCAUUUUCUUCUACUUUAGGUUGAGGACUGUAAUGAGAAACAAAUCCCAGUCAGUUUCACUAGCAUUCAGGCCAAGGUAUCUUAGUGCUGCACUGAAGGGGAAGGUAAUUACAAGGAGACAACAAGAACAUUCUAUUUCCAGCAAAGAGGCUGGUUGCAUCGUUUCAGAAUCCUGCAUGAAUUGAUUAACCUUAAACCAUCUGGUGAAACUGCAAGCUCAGGUUAAGGAUGCUACUGUGAAAUUUGCACCCAGACUCCAAGAGUUACAGACAGUGUUGACUCCUCAUAGUCGGACAAGACAAGUGUGAAAACUACAGGAUGUGGAUGGAAUGUAAAUGGAGUUCUAGAAA